GGGGAAUAUUGCGCAAUGGGCGAAAGCCUGACGCAGCGACGCCGCGUGAGGGAUGAAGGUUUUCGGAGCGUAAACCUCUGUCAGAAGGGAAGAAACCGCACCGUGCUAAUCAGCGGUGCCUUGACGGUACCGUAAGAAUAAGCACCGGCUAACUACGUGCCAGCAGCCGCGGUAAUACGUAGGGUGCGAGCGUUAAUCGGAAUUACUGGGCGUAAAGCGUGCGCAGGCGGUUAUGUAAGACAGAUGUGAAAUCCCCGGGCUCAACCUGGGAACUGCAUUUGUGACUGCAUGGCUAGAGUACGGUAGAGGGGGAUGGAAUUCCGCGUGUAGCAGUGAAAUGCGUAGAUAUGCGGAGGAACACCGAUGGCGAAGGCAAUCCCCUGGACCUGUACUGACGCUCAUGCACGAAAGCGUGGGGAGCAAACA
This 426-nucleotide ribosomal RNA is filed under the name uncultured Comamonadaceae bacterium. RNAcentral describes it as "bacterial SSU rRNA". It matches the Rfam family "Bacterial small subunit ribosomal RNA", at positions 356 to 774 of the family's 1533-position model. Lineage: Bacteria; Pseudomonadati; Pseudomonadota; Betaproteobacteria; Burkholderiales; Comamonadaceae. The record is from RNAcentral.